RNAcentral lists this non-coding RNA (114 nucleotides) under Gordonia effusa. Its description in RNAcentral is "TPP sequence". It matches the Rfam family "TPP riboswitch aptamer (THI element)". Rfam says of the family: Vitamin B(1) in its active form thiamin pyrophosphate (TPP) is an essential coenzyme that is synthesised by coupling of pyrimidine and thiazole moieties in bacteria. The previously detected thiamin-regulatory element, thi box was extended, resulting in a new, highly conserved RNA secondary structure, the THI element, which is widely distributed in eubacteria and also occurs in some archaea. The record is from RNAcentral. Lineage: Bacteria; Bacillati; Actinomycetota; Actinomycetes; Mycobacteriales; Gordoniaceae. RNAcentral also lists the same sequence under 1 other name.
AAAUGAACACGCGGGGGCUCUCACGAACCGAGGGCUGAGAUGGCGACAGGACGGUCGCCGACCGCCGGAACCUGUCCGGAUAAUGCCGGCGUAGGGAGUUGAAAUUAUGGGCAC